GUGGAGCCAGAAAUAUUGUUGGAUGGAGAGCAUGGGAUAGACAGGACAUUUGAGGUAGCACAGCAGGUAUGGGCAGAGGUGUUCUUCUACUUGGCUCAGAACAAUGUUCUGUUCGAGGGUAUUCUCCUCAAGCCUAGCAUGGUGACACCUGGCGCCGAGUGCAAGGACCGUGCCACUCCCGAGCAGGUCGCCGACUACACUCUCAAGCUCCUCCACCGCAGAGUCCCCUCUGCCGUCCCCGGAAUCAUGGCAAGUCUUUUUUUUUUUUUUUCCUUCCCUCUAAUUUCAAUCAUAUACCUAAAUAACAUGAUUAAUUAAAUAAAUCGACCUUUCUGGAUGUCUGGUUAGUCAAAUAACAUUCUCGAACUAAUCUUCGCUGAUUGAGAGAUUAUUUAAUUGGACCUGCGACGGUCCAACAAUAUAACAUGGGUUUUCAUAAGAUUAUUAUGUAAUCAUCUUCGCUGAUCUUAACAUAGGGCCAAACAAGGCCUUACAGUAUCAUCGAUAAAAUAUUCAAACAAUUGUUUUUGAUUUUGUAUUUUGUUUAUAGUUCUUGUCUGGUGGGCAAUCGGAGGUUGAAGCAACACUCAACUUGAACGCAAUGAACCAAUCUCCAAACCCGUGGCACGUGUCUUUCUCGUACGCGAGAGCUCUGCAGAACACAUGCUUGAAGACUUGGGGAGGAUUGCCCGAGAACGUGCAGGC
Molecule: long non-coding RNA, 705 nt
Filed under: Erythranthe guttata (spotted monkey flower)
Lineage: Eukaryota; Viridiplantae; Streptophyta; Magnoliopsida; Lamiales; Phrymaceae
Description: long non-coding RNA (EGUT_LNC001062)
Source: RNAcentral